RNAcentral lists this transfer RNA (61 nucleotides) under Takobia yixiani. Its description in RNAcentral is "tRNA-Gly". Lineage: Eukaryota; Metazoa; Arthropoda; Insecta; Ephemeroptera; Baetidae. The record is from RNAcentral.
UAAAUUAUUAUAAUAAGUAUAUUUGACUUCCAAUCAUAGGGUUCCAAGGGAAUUUAGUAAU